This 465-nucleotide ribosomal RNA is filed under the name uncultured bacterium. RNAcentral describes it as "partial 16S ribosomal RNA". It matches the Rfam family "Bacterial small subunit ribosomal RNA", at positions 28 to 507 of the family's 1533-position model. The record is from RNAcentral.
GAUGAACGCUGGCGGCGUGCUUAACACAUGCAAGUCGAACGGAAAGGCCCAAGCUUGCUUGGGUACUCGAGUGGCGAACGGGUGAGUAACACGUGGGUGAUCUGCCCUGCACUUCGGGAUAAGCCUGGGAAACUGGGUCUAAUACCGGAUAGGACCACAUUUUGGAUGGUGUGGUGGAAAGUUUUUCGGUGUGGGAUGAGCUCGCGGCCUAUCAGCUUGUUGGUGGGGUAAUGGCCUACCAAGGCGUCGACGGGUAGCCGGCCUGAGAGGGUGUACGGCCACAUUGGGACUGAGAUACGGCCCAGACUCCUACGGGAGGCAGCAGUGGGGAAUAUUGCACAAUGGGCGCAAGUCUGAUGCAGCGACGCCGCGUGGGGGAUGACGGCCUUCGGGUUGUAAACUCCUUUCGCUAGGGACGAAGCGCAAGUGACGGUACCUGGAGAAGAAGCACCGGCUAACUACGUG